RNAcentral lists this ribosomal RNA (468 nucleotides) under uncultured bacterium. RNAcentral's name for it is "partial 16S ribosomal RNA". It matches the Rfam family "Bacterial small subunit ribosomal RNA", at positions 28 to 507 of the family's 1533-position model. The record is from RNAcentral.
GACGAACGCUGGCGGCGUGCUUAACACAUGCAAGUCGAACGGAAAGGCCCUGCUUUUGUGGGGUGCUCGAGUGGCGAACGGGUGAGUAACACGUGAGUAACCUGCCCUUGACUUUGGGAUAACUUCAGGAAACUGGGGCUAAUACCGGAUAGGAGCUCCUGCUGCAUGGUGGGGGUUGGAAAGUUUCGGCGGUUGGGGCUGGAUUCGCGGGUUAUCAGCUUGUUGGUGGGGUAGUGGCUUACCAAGGCUUAGACGGGUAGCCGGCCUGAGAGGGUGAACGGCGUCCUUGGGACUGCGAGACGGCCCAGUAGCCUACGGGCGGCAGCAGUCGGGAAUAUUGCGCAAUGGGCGGAAGCCUGAGGCAGCAACGCCGCGUGCGGGAUGAUGGCUUACGGGGUGUAAACCGCUUUCUCCUGUGACGAAGCGUGAGUGACGGUAAUGGGUAAAGAAGCACCGGCUAACUACGUG